GACGAACGCUGGCGGCGUGCUUAACACAUGCAAGUCGAACGGAAAGGCCCUGCUUUUGUGGGGUGCUCGAGUGGCGAACGGGUGAGUAACACGUGAGUAACCUGCCCUUGACUUUGGGAUAACUUCAGGAAACUGGGGCUAAUACCGGAUAGGAGCUCCUGCUGCAUGGGGGGGGUUGGAAAGUUUCGGCGGUUUGGGAUGGACUCGCGGCUUAUCAGCUUGUUGGUGGGGUAGUGGCUUACCAAGGCUUUGACGGGUAGCCGGCCUGAGAGGGUGACCGGCCACCUUGGGACUGCGAUACGGCCCAGACUCCUACGGGACGCAGCGGUGGGGAAUAUUGCGCAAUGGGCGCAAGCCUGAUGCAGCAGCGCCGCGUGCGGGAUGACGGCCUUCGGGUUGUAAACCGCUGUCGCCUGUGCCGAAGCGUGAGUGACGGUAAUGGGUAAAGAAGCACCGGCUAACUACGUG
Molecule: ribosomal RNA, 468 nt
Filed under: uncultured bacterium
Lineage: Bacteria
Description: partial 16S ribosomal RNA
Rfam family: Bacterial small subunit ribosomal RNA
Source: RNAcentral